UAAUACAGAGGGUGCGAGCGUUGUCCGGAAUCACUGGGCGUAAAGGGCGCGUAGGCGGCCUGGUAAGUACGGGGUGAAAUCUCACGGCUCAACCGUGAGGCUGCCUCGUAGACUGCCGGGCUCGAGCAGAGCAGAGGCUAGCGGAAUUCCCGGUGUAGCGGUGGAAUGCGUAGAGAUCGGGAAGAACAUCGGUGGCGAAGGCGGCUAGCUGGGCUCUUGCUGACGCUGAUGCGCG
RNAcentral lists this ribosomal RNA (235 nucleotides) under uncultured bacterium. RNAcentral's name for it is "partial 16S ribosomal RNA". It matches the Rfam family "Bacterial small subunit ribosomal RNA", at positions 521 to 755 of the family's 1533-position model. The record is from RNAcentral.